UCGUACCGUGAGUAAUAAUGCGAG
This 24-nucleotide non-coding RNA is filed under the name Macaca fascicularis (crab-eating macaque). Lineage: Eukaryota; Metazoa; Chordata; Mammalia; Primates; Cercopithecidae. The record is from RNAcentral. RNAcentral also lists the same sequence under 4 other names.